This 775-nucleotide ribosomal RNA is filed under the name Penthesilenula aotearoa. RNAcentral describes it as "eukaryotic LSU rRNA". The stretch from base 247 to 402 matches the Rfam family "5.8S ribosomal RNA". The record is from RNAcentral. Lineage: Eukaryota; Metazoa; Arthropoda; Ostracoda; Podocopida; Darwinulidae.
CACUGACGGUAUCGUCAAACACGCUCCCUGGGGGUUCUUCCCAGGGUAGAAGUGCCUUUGCCCCCGCCGGGGGCGAGGCCGCCGCUCGGGAGAUGAGCGCCCGAUUUGCGGUCCGUUCGGGAACCGUGCGGAGAGGUUCGCCCUCCCGCGCGGCCGAAGGAUAGUGGCUCUUUGGAAUGGAAACACGUGAACCGUCUUGUCGAAAGCAAAACUUGAUGGAACGAAUGAUCCAUCGACACCGCAAACGACUCCGGGCGGUGGAUCACUCGGCUCGCAGAUCGAGGAAGGACGGAGCCAACUCCGUGAAACACGGCGAAUUGCAGGGCGCCAAGAAACCGCCACAGUUUGAACGCAUAUUGCGGCCUUGGCAGCGAUGUCGAGGCCACGCCUGUUCGAGGGUCUGAUUACAUCUUGCCCGUCUCGGAAUUUUGCGUUCCGGGCAUCGGACUUCGCGUCGGACGUCUGUAGGUCCUCCGGGCCGAAGGACGAAGGACGCGUGGUCCCAAGAUCGGAACGAAGCCGAGGGGAGACGGACUGUCUCGCACGCCGGACGUCCGGUGGCGUAAAGCUGCCGGCUGUCGUGGGCCGUGACGCCGAGAUUCCCUCCUGGCCGGCGGAAUGUUUUUCAUUCGUGCCGGGAGGUUCGAGACUCGUGCGGGUGGGUCCCACGUCAGAGAUCGGCCGUAGCGACGGUUCGUGCGUACCUUCCGUGCGUGUGUUCUCGUCUUUCUUUCUGUCGGACCUCGGAUCAGGCGGGAUUACCCGCUAAAUUUAA